CACAUGUGUGAACAUAAGAACAAUGCUCCGCCUACAAAUACUAGAGGAAAAGGAAUUCUGACAACUAAACAUGGCAUUGGAAUCGGAGGCAUUAGGAGAAUAGUGGAUGCAAUUUCCAUUCCUGACUCGUUGACAAUGAACUGCAGAGCCACGCCCAAUUCACAAACCCUGUCAAGGACUUGCCAUACCUCACAUGCUUCAUCUCCAGCUCAGGGCUCCGAGAACCAUGCAUUCAGCCUGUCAGCGCUACCACGUAGCUGAUUUCUGUAAAUGUUGAGUAUAGCAAAUGUUUCGGUGCACCAGGU
Molecule: long non-coding RNA, 305 nt
Filed under: Setaria viridis
Lineage: Eukaryota; Viridiplantae; Streptophyta; Magnoliopsida; Poales; Poaceae
Description: long non-coding RNA (SVIR_LNC002022)
Source: RNAcentral